Long non-coding RNA from Coturnix japonica (Japanese quail), 2044 nucleotides. The record is from Ensembl. Lineage: Eukaryota; Metazoa; Chordata; Aves; Galliformes; Phasianidae.
GGCUAUUAAUUAAUUAUUAAUAAAUUAUUAAUUAAUUAUUAGGGCUAUUAAUUGAUUAUUAGGGCUAAUAAUGCCAUUAUUGGGGACUAAUAAUUAAUUAAUACGGCUAAUAAUGAAUUAAUAAGGUUAUUAAUUAAUUAUUAGGGCCAUUAAUUAGCUAUUAGAAUUAUUAAUCAAUUAUUAAUUAAUUAUUAAUUGAUUAUUAAAUAAUUAUUAGGGCUGUUAAUUAAUUAUUAGGGCUAUUAAUGCCAUUAUUGGGGGCUAAUGAUUAAUUAAUAUGGCUAAUAAUUAACUAAUAAGGCUAUUAAUUAACUAUUAGGGCCAUUAAUUAAUUAUUAGGAUUAUUAAUCGAUUAUUAAUUGAUUAAUAUAUGAUUAUUAAUUAAUUAUUAGGGCUAUUAAUUGAUUAUUAGGGCUAUUAAUGCCAUUAUUGGGGGCUAAUAAUUAAUUAAUACGGCUAAUAAUGAAUUAAUAAGGCUAUUAAUGAACUAUUAGGGCCAUUAAUUAAUUAUUCCGGCUAUUGAUUAGGAUUAUUAAUUAAUUAUUUAUUAAUUAUUAAUUAAUUAUUAGGCUAAUUAACCCUAAUUAACUCCAUCUUUUCUCUUUCCAGGUCCAUAUCGACGACGGAGCGACUUCCGCCCCCCCCUAAUUAGUUAAUUAAUGAUUAAUUAAUUAAUGACCUGCCAUUAAUUAAUUAAUCCAUUAAUCGAGGCCUCAUUAGCACUUAAUAACAGGGACCGGGAAAGGGGGCGGGGCUAUGCAAAUCAGGCUCAUGAAUAUAUAAUCACAUGCUAAUGAGGUCUCAAUGUUAGUUGAUUGGGGGUGGUGGGGUUUGACAAAGCCACGCCCCCUUCAUUUGCAUAAAGGGGCGGGGUUAAAGAGGACACACCCAUAUAUGGACAAAGGGGGCGGGGCUACGGAGGUCACGCCCAUAUAUGGAGGUGGGGGCGGGGCUAUGCCCAUAUAUGGAAAGGGGGCGUGGCCAAGAGCCCCCAUAGACUAUAAUGGGAGGGGGCGUGGCUUAGCGCAGCCCAUGCCCAUAUAAGGAGAAGUGGGCGUGGCCAAGAGCCCCCAUAGACUCUAAUGGGAGGGGGCGUGGCUUAGCGUAGCCCCGCCCCCUCCCAUUCAACUCAAUGGGGAUAAGAGGGAUAAGGGGGGGGGGGGGGGGGGUUAAUUAAGGGUUAAUGAAUAUUCAUGAGCGACUUAAUUAAUGAAUUAACGACUAAUUAAUCGGAGCCGGUGGGGAUUUCUUCUUAUUUCUCGCUUCAUUUCUGUUCCCCUUUUUCUUUAAUCCCGGAACCGCGGUGCCUUUCUUUCCCCUUCCUGUUCUUAAUUAUGUUAAUGAAUAUGCUAAUGAGUAUGCUAAUGAGUCGGGCUAAUUAAGGUUUAAUUAAGGGGGUCAUUCAUUACUAUGGGGGGGGGGGGGGGUCUUAACGAGCCUUAUAACGAGCACUUUGAUUCUGUAUAUGGGGUUGGGGGGGCGGCGCUAACGAAGGAGGCCUUAAUGAGGCUCAUUUGCAUAAAUUUGCAUAGGUUUGCAUACAUUUCCAUCCAGGGAUCCCAUUGGUUCGUCGACAUGAGGCCUUAAUUGAAUAUUAAUUAGGUAUGAAUAUUAAUUAAGCAAGAUGACGGCCCUGAUAGGCUUCCAUUGGGUCGAAUCCGGGUCUCAUUUGCAUAAAUUAGCAUACUGGGCUCAUUUGCAUAGAUUAGCAUCCAGGGAUCCCAUUGGUUCGUCGACAUGAGGCCUUAAUUGAAUAUUAAUUAGGUAAGAAGCAAGAUGGCGGCUUCCAAGGCACUAAGCAGGUCCUCAUUUUGCAUAAAUUAUGAUCCUAAUUUGCAUAAAUUAGCAUACGUGGCUCGUUUGCAUAGAUUAGCGUAGAGGGAUCCCAUUGGUUCGCUGAUAAUGAGGCCUUAAUUGAAUAUUAAUUAGGAGCAAGGCGGCCCUAAUUGGCUUCAAUUGGCUCGAAUCUGGGCCUCAUUUGCAUAAAUUAGCAUACAGAAAUCGCCUGCAUAAAUUAGGGCUCAUUUGCAUAAAUUAGAAUAGA